GACGAACGCUGGCGGCGUGCUUAACACAUGCAAGUCGAACGAAGUGGCGAACGGGUGAGUAACGCGUAAUCAACCUGCCCUUCAGAGGGGGACAACAGUUGGAAACGACUGCUAAUACCGCAUACUGAAGGAGGGGAUUGCGUCGGAUUAGCUGGUUGGAGGGGUAACGGCCCACCAAGGCGAUGAUCAGUAGCCGGUCUGGGAGGAUGAACGGCACAAUUGGGACUGAAAAACGGCCCAGACUGCGACGGGGGGCAGCAGUGGGGAAUUUUCCGCAAUGGACGAAAGUCUGACGGAGCAACGCCGCGUGAGUGAUGACGGCCUUCGGGUUGUAAAGCUCUGUUAAUCGGGACGCGGUACCGGAAUAGAAAGCCACGGCUAACUACGUGCCAGCAGCCGCGGUAAUAC
RNAcentral lists this ribosomal RNA (408 nucleotides) under uncultured bacterium. RNAcentral's name for it is "partial 16S ribosomal RNA". It matches the Rfam family "Bacterial small subunit ribosomal RNA", at positions 28 to 526 of the family's 1533-position model. The record is from RNAcentral.